CUCCCGGUGGCCUAGCUGGAUAAGGCGUAAGACUGUAAUACAGGCAUUGCAAUCUUAAGAUCGAAUGUUCGACUCAUUCCCGGGAG
Molecule: transfer RNA, 86 nt
Filed under: Metschnikowia bicuspidata
Lineage: Eukaryota; Fungi; Ascomycota; Pichiomycetes; Serinales; Metschnikowiaceae
Description: tRNA-Tyr
Rfam family: tRNA
About the family: Transfer RNA (tRNA) molecules are approximately 80 nucleotides in length. Their secondary structure includes four short double-helical elements and three loops (D, anti-codon, and T loops). Further hydrogen bonds mediate the characteristic L-shaped molecular structure. tRNAs have two regions of fundamental functional importance: the anti-codon, which is responsible for specific mRNA codon recognition, and the 3' end, to which the tRNAs corresponding amino acid is attached (by aminoacyl-tRNA synthetases). tRNAs cope with the degeneracy of the genetic code in two manners: having more than one tRNA (with a specific anti-codon) for a particular amino acid; and 'wobble' base-pairing, i.e. permitting non-standard base-pairing at the 3rd anti-codon position.
Source: RNAcentral